UACGUAGGGGGCGAGCGUUGUCCGGAUUUAUUGGGCGUAAAGGGCACGCAGGCGGUCCAUUAAGUUCAGGGUGACAGUCAUCAGCUUAACUGAUGAAGUGCCUUGAAAACUGGUGGACUUGAGAGCGAGAGAGGGACACGGAACUCCGGGUGGAGCAGUGAAAUGCGUAGAGAUCCGGAAGAACACCAAAGGCGAAGGCAGUGUCCUGGCUCGUUUCUGACGCUCAGGUGCGAAAGCGAGGGGAGCGAACGGG
Molecule: ribosomal RNA, 253 nt
Filed under: uncultured Ktedonobacter sp.
Lineage: Bacteria; Bacillati; Chloroflexota; Ktedonobacteria; Ktedonobacterales; Ktedonobacteraceae
Description: partial 16S ribosomal RNA
Rfam family: Bacterial small subunit ribosomal RNA
Source: RNAcentral